GCCGACUUCCAUGGCCACCGUCCUGCUGUCUUUAGUUACUAACGCCUUUUGUGGGGUCCGAUAUGCGUUGAUUUUGGCACUAUAACUUUACGACCGGUUCAUCCCGCAUCGCCAGUUCUGCUUACCAAAAAUGGCCCACUAAAGGCCUUUACUAUCUAUCCAUUUGCUACGUAAUGCACGCUAGCUAAUGGAAAACACACACAUUAACAGUUUGAGAAUAGGUUGAGAACGUUUCGAACCCAACGACUCUAAUCAUUCGCUUUACCGCAUGUGACUAUCAUUACUAGACCUCAGCUAUCCUUAGGGAAACUUCGAAAGGAACCAGCUACUAGAUGGUUCGAUUGGUCUUUCGCCCCUAUACAUAGUUCUGAUGAUCGAUUUGCACGUCAGAACCAUUGCGGACCUCCACCAGAGUUUCCCCUGGCUUCAUCCUUUCCAUGCAUAGUUCACCAUCUUUCGGGUUCCAGAGCACGAGCUACGAGUACGGCAGCGCCAUUGCUGACGCAUAAUUGCCAUCUCCGAUUUGCCUAAACGCUUAUAAAUACAUAUAGAGCGUCUCAUCAUACAAAAUUCGAGCUGUCGAAACAACUCUCGAUUGCUUUCGUUAAGUUUGACGGAUUCUAUUAAAAUGAACCUUUGCGUCACGCUCGUUCGCUGGACUCCUUGGUCC
Molecule: ribosomal RNA, 670 nt
Filed under: Cerylambus reticulatus
Lineage: Eukaryota; Metazoa; Arthropoda; Insecta; Coleoptera; Staphylinidae
Description: partial 28S ribosomal RNA
Source: RNAcentral